Molecule: ribosomal RNA, 1243 nt
Filed under: metagenome
Description: bacterial LSU rRNA
Rfam family: Bacterial large subunit ribosomal RNA
Source: RNAcentral
UGAAUACGAGACGCUACGGCGUCGAAGCAGUCUAUGUCAUACUUCCAAGAAAAGCUUGCACUGUCAUAAACAAAUAAUGCCUGUACCAUAACCGACACAGGUGGGUAGGUAGAGUAUACUAAGGGGCGCGAGAUAACUCUCUCUAAGGAACUCGGCAAAAUGACUCCGUAACUUCGGGAGAAGGAGUGCCUUAUUUAUAAGGUUGCAAUAACAAGAUCCAAGCAACUGUUUAUCAAAAACACAGGUCUCCGCUAAGUCGUAAGACGAUGUAUGGGGGCUGACGCCUGCCCAGUGCCAGAAGGUUAAAGAAGUUGGUUAGCAUUAGCGAAGCUGAUAACUGAAGCCCUGGUGAACGGCGGCCGUAACAAUAACGGUCCUAAGGUAGCGAAAUUCCUUGUCGGGUAAGUUCCGACCCGCACGAAAGGCGUAAUGAUUUGGAUACUGUCUCAGAGAGGGGCUCGGUGAAAUAGACUUGUCUGUGAAGAUGCGGACUACCUGCACCAGGACAGAAAGACCCUAUGAAGCUUUACUGUAACUUGAAAUUGAAAUUGGACUUUAUUUGCGCAGUAUAGGUGGGAGGCAUUGAUAAUAUUCUUGCGGGAAUGUUGGAGCCAUCAGUGAGAUACCACUCUUGUAAUGUUAGAUUUCUAACUUUGGAUCAUUAUCUGGUCAAAGGACAGUUUCAGGCGGGCAGUUUGACUGGGGCGGUCGCCUCCUAAAUGGUAACGGAGGCGCACAAAGGUUUCCUCUGAACGGGUAGAAAUCGUAUCUAGAGUGUAAAGGCAUAAGGAAGCUUGACUGUGAGACCUACAAGUCGAGCAGGGACGAAAGUCGGUCUUAGUGAUCUGACGGUGCUGAGUGGAAAGGCCGUCACUCAACGGAUAAAAGUUACUCUAGGAUAACAGGCUGAUCUCCCCCAAGAGUUCACAUCGACGGGGAGGUUUGGCACCUCGAUGUCGGCUCAUCGCAUCCUGGGGCGGUAGUACGUCCCGAGGGUUGGGCUGUUCGCCCAUGAAAGCGGUACGCGAGCUGGGUUCAGAACGUCGUGAGACAGUUCGGUCCAUAUCCGGUGUAGGCGUUAGAAUAUUGAGAGGAGCCUUCUUUAGUACGAGAGGACCGAGAAGGACAUACCUCUGGUGUACCAGUUAUCGUGCCAACGGUAAACGCUGGGUAGCUAUGUAUGGAGAGGAUAACCGCUGAAAGCAUCUAAGUGGGAAGCCCACCUCAAGAUAAGUAUUCUCAU